GAAAGUAAACAAGGGCGCAUGGAGGAUGCCUAGGCUCUCGGAGGCGAAGAAGGACGUGAUAAGCUGCGAAAAGUUACGGUAAGGCGCAAAUAGCCCUAGACCCGUAAAUAUCCGAAUGGGGCAACCCGGCCAGCAAUGGUCAUACCGCCAAGCGGUAAGCCAACGCGGGGAACUGAAACAUCUAAGUACCCGCAGGAAAAGAAAAUAACAAUGAUUCCGCCAGUAGUGGCGAGCGAACGCGGAACAGCCCAAACCACUCGUGUUACGGCACGAGUGGGGUAGAAGGAUCCACGAUACGGCAAGAAAUAAGUUAGCAGAAUACGAUGGAAAUCGUAGCCAAAGACGGUGACAGCCCAGUACGCGAAAACCGACAGAAGCCCAGUGGACACCUGAGUAACCCAGGACACGAGAAAUCCGGGGCGAAUCAGCGGGGCCCAUCCCGUAAGGCUAAAUACUCCCGAGAGACCGAUAGCGAACCAGUACUGUGAAGGAAAGGUGAAAAGAACCUCGAACAGAGGAGUGAAACAGACCCUGAAACCAUGCGCCUACAAGCGGUCGGAGCUUCUAUAAGGAGUGACGGCGUGCCUUUUGCAUAAUGAACCUACGAGUUACUCUUGCCGGCGAGGCUAAGGGCUUCAGGCCCGGAGCCGAAGCGAAAGCGAGUCUGAACAGGGCGCGAUAGUCGGCAGGAGUAGACGCGAAACCAAGUGAUCUACCCAUGAGCAGGUUGAAGGUUGGGUAACACCAACUGGAGGACCGCACCGGUAAACGUUGAAAAGUUUUCGGAUGACUUGUGGGUAGGGGUGAAAGGCUAAUCAAACUUGGAGAUAGCUCGUACUCCCCGAAAUGCAUUUAGGUGCAGCCUUGACUUAUACUGGCAUGAGGUAGAGCGACUGAUAAGAUGCGAGGGCUUCACCGCCUAUCAAGUCUUGACAAACUCCGAAUGCGUGUCAGUUCUAUGUCAGGAGUGAGGGCAUGGGUGCUAAGGUCCAUGUCCUAAAGGAGAACAAUCCGGACCAACAGCUAAGGUCCCGAAAUGAAUACUAAGUUGAACUAACGAAGUCAGAUUGCUAAGACAGCUAGGAUGUUGGCUUGGAAGCAGCCAUUCAUUUAAAGAGUGCGUAACAGCUCACUAGUCGAGGAGUUUUGCAUGGAUAAUAAUCGGGCAUAAGCCCUUUACCGAAGCUGUGGAUGUCGUAAGACAUGGUAGGGGAGCAUUCCGGCGGCGACGAAGGCCGUCCUCGAGGACGACUGGAGCUUUCGGAAAAGCAAAUGUAGGUAUAAGUAACGAUAAAGGGGGCGUGAAACCCCCUCGCCAUAAGACUAAGGAUUCCUGAUCAACGCUAAUCGGAUCAGGGUAAGUCGGGCCCUAAGGCGCAGCCGAACGGCGUAGCCGAUGGAAGAAACGGUAAAGAUUCCGUUACUGGAUAUAGGAGCGAUGUGGAGACGGAGAAGUGACACACCCGCCUGCCGACGGAAGCGCAGGUUAAAGGAAGUAGGUAAACGCCGGGUAGGCAAAUCCGCCUGGCGUGCCGAAACUGACAGUAUCGAGAGCCCCCGGGCAAUCGAAUAGCGGUGGUAAUCAGGCUCCCAAGAAAAUCCGCUAAGCAUAUUCUAUAUCCACCCGUACCCCAAACGGACACACGUAGUCGGGUAGAAUAUACCAAGGCGCUCGAAAGACUCACGGUUAAGGAACUAGGCAAAUUGACCCUGUAACCUCGGGAAAAAGGGUCCCCAGUAAGAUGGGGCGCAGAGAAUAGGUCCAGGCAACUGUUUAACAAAAACACAGGGCUGUGCGAAAUUUCAAGAUGAAGUAUACAGCCUGACACCUGCCCGGUGCCGGAAGGUUAAGAGGAGAGCUAAUCGCAAGAGAAGGCUUGAAUUGAAGCCCCGGUAAACGGCGGCCGUAACUAUAACGGUCCUAAGGUAGCGAAAUUCCUUGUCGGGU
This 1948-nucleotide ribosomal RNA is filed under the name human metagenome. RNAcentral describes it as "bacterial LSU rRNA". It matches the Rfam family "Bacterial large subunit ribosomal RNA", at positions 1 to 1977 of the family's 2925-position model. The record is from RNAcentral.